GAGGCUGCUGGUCCUCCUAUAGGGUCGCCCUCCUCCUCAGUUUCCUCCAUCUUUUCCCUAAUUCACCCACAGUGAUCAGCAGCUUCUGUCCUCUGGUCGGGUGCGCAUAUCUGCAUCUGACUCCUUCAUCUGCUUGUUGGGUCUUUUGGAGAGCAGUCACGAUGGGUCCCUUUUUUGUGAGUGCCCCAAUAGCUUCAAUAAUAAUGUCGGGCCUUGGGACCUCCCCUUGAGCUAGAUCCCAAUUUGGGUUAGUUGCUGGACCUUCUUUUCCUCAGGUUUUUCUCCAUUUAUAUCCCUGCAGUUCUUUCCAACAGGAACAAUUAUGGGUCAGAGUUUUUUACUGUGGGAUGGCAACCCCAUCCCUCAGUUAAUGCCCUGUCUUUCUGCUGAAGGUGGACUCUACAAAUUCCCUCUCCCCACUGCAGGGCAUUUCAUCCAAGAUUCCUUCCUUUGAGUCCUGAGAGUCUCUGACCUGUCUUUGGUGCAUUCUGGAGGGUCCCCCACCUACCUCCCAAAAUUGCCUAUUUCCAUUCUUUCUGCUGGCCCUCAGGGCUUCAUUCCUGUUUCCUCACCCAAUACCUGAUCGUGUUCUCUUCCUCCCCUUCUUCCUGUUCUCUUUCCCACCCAGGUCCCUCCCUCCCCCUUUGUGGUUGCUUUCUUCUCCCCACAAGUGGGAUUGAGGCAUCCUCACUUGGGCUGUUCGGCUUGUUAACCUUCUUGAGUUCUGUAGAUUGUAUCCUGGGUAUUAUGUUCAUUUUUUGGCUAAUAUCCACUUAUUAAUGAGUACAUACUAUACAUGUCCUUUUGGGUCUGAGUUACCUCACUCAGGAUGCUAUUUUCUAAUUCCAUCCAUUUGCCUGCAAAACUUAGGAAGUCCUCAUUCUUAAAGCUGAGUAGUAAUCCAUUGUGUAAAUGAACCACAUUUUCUGUAUCCAUUCUUCUGUUGUGGGACAUCACUAUAGUGUGUGUUCAUAGAUUUAAGUUUUAGUCUUGUUAUUAAAGAAAAUAUAUUGGCUAUUAGCUAAGUAAAGGUAACCAUAUUUUCUGGUAUGUCCUUCUGCUCAAAAAUGCCUCUAGGGACUGGGAAUAUGACUCGAUUGGUAACCCACAUGCCUACAUGACCAAGUAUAGCAUAAACUGGAUUUGUAGAGAAGUCUGUGGUCCUACCACAUGGAAGACAGAGGCAGGAAGUUCAGAAGUUUCAAAGUCAUUCUCAGCUACAUAUCUCUGGCAUCAAGUUCAGCCUUGGGUACAUAAAACCCUGUCCCCCAAAAAAGAAAAGCUUUCAGAGUCUCAGCACUGGUUCAUCUCUUUAGAUAUUUUAGAACCAAACUAAGGUGACCUCAGAGGCCUCUCUUGGCUGACUUCUUGGACAGAUGCCCUCCAGCUGGCAUUCACUGUCCUUGAGAACAUCUAUGAAGAUAACUUACAUGUUUGGCUUUAUACCUAUUGCUUCAUAAAGUAUAUUUCCACACCAAAACCAUUCAUAAGAAACUUGGUUAACCAUAGGAUGGUAAAAUAUGCAUAAAACUGUUAAAAUCAUGCUGAACAAAUAGGAUAAUGAAUACAUGGAGACACAUUAUAAACUAUUAUAUCAUAAAAAUAAAGUAGACAAAUAUACCACUCUGAAAUACAGUAUGGAAAGGAGGAAUUUAACAAUUCUAAAGUUGAAAUUGGAGAUUUAUCUUAGUGGGAGAAUCCUUGCUUAGCAGAAAUGAAACCCUGGAUUCAAUCUAUAGCACAAAGUAAAAUAAAGUAAAAGAUGAUAAGUAGAGUUGAGGGUGUGGCAGCUGGUAUAGUCCUCUCCCAGCAAGCAGAGCCCUGGGUUCAGCCUCUAGCACUGACAAAAGCAAAGAAACAAAAGUUAAUAGAGGGUGGGAAGUGUAGACUAAUAGUAGAGCAGUACUUGCCUACUAUGUGUGAGUUGUGGGUUCAAUUCCCAGUACCACCUCCCAAAUAUAUUAGUUGAAUAUGCACACAUGAUGUCAUUUGCUGAACAAGGAAGAAUAAGAUAACGACUUUUAAAGGUGGGUGUAACACAGAGCACAGUGAUUAAUACGUUUACCUUUAUAAAGUUAAUCAGCAUCCGUUCACUCUGUGCUUGUGUCUUCAUCUGCUUUCAGAAAGUCCUUCAUGUUCAGCUCCCACAGGGAUCUACUUGUGCUAAGAUUUUUCAAUUGCCUUUCUUAAGCCAGAAGAUGUGAUGAGAGACUUGUUCAGGGACAGUUUUUAGUAUCAAUGAAAUUCUUUGAGGAACGUUACAACCCCAUGAUGCCACUGCCUGUUAAUGAGGAUGAGUUAAUUAUCUUCUAUCUGCCUGUAGAAGAUUAAGAUCUGCUGCUGUGACCAAGAGAGAAAGCAGAAAUGAAGACGCUUUGACUGUGACUGGACUCUGGCUCUGACCCUGACUGGACUCUGACUGUGACUGGACUCUAGCUUCUGUGCUGCGGUUUUGUCUGUACACCAUGUCCUCCAGUCACCCUCACGGUGCUUCAGACUGCACACGCUCUAAGUAAAAGUCACCAGAGUUCUUGUAUCCCAUAAUUCCAUAAGCCCCAAAAGAAAGUAAUGGCCACUCACCUUCUCAUUGUUUCUGAUUGUCUGUUGGUGGCCAUUUGUUGUUGAAUCAUGCCAUGCCUGAAAAAUCCAGCCAUUCAGAAUUUUAUCUUCAGUUGUAGGUGACAGAAACCCAAUUCCAACUGUCUUAAAUGUGGGAGUGGAGGUUAUCCGUGAGGGAUUUGUGUAAAUGAACAGGUUAGGUAUGUCUGGUUCACAGUUCAUUUCUGCUUUCACUCUCAGGCAGUUCCUAGACAUGUGACCAUAGGUGGCUCUGACCUUGAAAAUGUAGCAGAAGUGUAGCUUGGUCUUCAUGUGAGUCCUGAACAAAUGGAACAGGGCCUAUCCCAAAAGCUGUUGCCUGUCUGUGGGAUACGUUCUUCUAGCUGGGCUGCCUUGUCUGAUCUCAGUGGGAGAAAAUGUGCCUAGCCUCUCAGAGACUUGAUGUGCCAGCAUGGGGGGAUACCCAAGGCCCCAUCCACUCAGAGGAGAAGUGGAAGGUGGUAGGGAAAGAAUUGACUGUGAGGGGCAGUGAGUAGGAUGCAAAGUAAAUAAGUAAAAAUAUAAUAAAAAAAGACAUUGAGUUUUCUUUUCUGAGAAAAAGAAAUGGCACUUUAGCUCUCUGACCUAAUUCCAGGUUUAUGACAACCUUCAGUCUGUGUCUAGAAACACUGAAUAUUUAAGGAGCAUGCUCACCAUCAGGAAAAUACAUCAUUAAAAAAAAACAAACCACUGCAGUGAGGAAAAGAAACUGGUGAGAGAGGCGCAUCACUGAUAUCUGAGCAAUGAGGGGCACAGGCAAAAGGAAGCCACACCUUCAAGGCUAACUUCACCUGCACAGAGUUUCAGGCCAGCUAAAACUACAUAGUGCCACAGUAGACAGUGUAAACCAAGCACUUGGAAGACUGAGGCAACAUGGCCAUGAGAGUGAAGCGACAUUGGACUACUAUCAAGACCCAUUUUCAAACAAAACAAAACCCUCACAGACAACAAAACCCAAAUGUGGUGGUUUGUAUAUGCUUGAACCAGGGAGUGGCACUAUUAGAAGGUGUGGCCCUGUUGGAGUAGGUGUGUAACUGUGGGCUUUAUGACCCUCACCCUAGCUGCCUGGAAGCCAGUCUUCUCCUAGCAGCCUUCAGAUGAAGAUGUAGAACUCUCAGCUCCUCCUGUACCAUGCCUGCCUGGAUGCUGCCAUGUUCCCAUCUUGAUGAUAAUGAAUUAAACCUCUGAACCUGUAAGCCAGCCUCAAUUAAAUGCUGUCCUUAUAAGAGUUGCCUUGGUCAUGGUGUCUGUUCACAGCAGUAAAAACCCUAACUAAGGCACCAAAGCAACAACAAAUCCCACACAAAACUAUUGCCAGUGUGCAGGCAGAGCUCCAGACCUCUGGAUAUAGCUGGCUGUGAUGCAGCUGCUGCAGCUGCUGAGGGAGGCAGCCUGGCAGCUCUUUAGACAGCGGGAUGGAAUUAAAUGUCCAGCAGUUCAGCUCCUUGGGACAGGAAAAGACGAAACACUUUUUACAGAAAAACGUAAGAAUUCAUUCUCAGCAACAUUAUGCAUAAUAGACAAAAAGGGGAAACAAUCCAAAUACCCAUUAGUAAGUAGGUGGAUAAAAAUGUAGCAGGAUCAUAGGAUAGAUUAUUUGGAAGCCAUUAAAGCAUCAAGUAUACACUUAGUACAUGCUAAGGAACUAAGUUUAACAAGUCAGUCACGAAGAAUAAUACUUCAUAGGGUUCCAUUUACUUGAAGUGUCCAGGAUCAUCAAACCCACAGACAGAGAGUAGAUUACCAACUGCUUAGAGCUGGAGGCAGUAGGAGAAAAUGGAGGCUUGAAUACAGACAUGAAUGAGGGAUUUUGUCGGCAGGUCAUAAUGAUCAUGUUCUAGAACUGUGGUGAUGGGCACGCACCUUGGAAUUACUACAACUACUGAAUUGUAAUAAAGGCUGAAUUUGGUGUGUGUGUAUGUGUGUGUUACAGCACAUAUGUGGAGAUCUGAGGACAACAUUCAGCAAGUGGUUCUGUCAUUCCACCCUCUGAGAUGGUUGUCACUGCUGCCUCAGUCUGAACAUACAGUGAUGUCCCCGACCAUCUCAGCCUGCCCACACUUGCUGAUCCCUCGUUCCCGUUACCGUCUGCUUCGGCCGGGGCAGCAGCGUUAUCUCUUCUCAUUCAAAAUAUUUCUGUCCAGUGUUUGUGGAGAAGCUGUAUAUGUACAUCAGGAAAGUUUCAUUGCUAUUGGUUGUAAAAACAUGAAUUAAAAUCUGGAGCUGGAGAGAGGGCUCAACAGUAAAGAGUACUUGAUACUCUUGUAGAGGACUCCAGUUUGGUUCUCAGCACUCGCAUGAUGCUUUACAACCAUCCAUAACUCCAGUCCUGGGCCUCUGGCACACUCUUCUGACCUCCACAGGCACACAUGUGGUGCACAGACACACAUAUGCAUAAGAUAAAAAUUUUGAAUUAAAACCUUAAAACAUUUAGCAUGUAUCUAUUAUAUUGUCAAAAUACAAUAGAGAAACAGAAA
This is a non-coding RNA of Rattus norvegicus (Norway rat), 5075 nucleotides long. Lineage: Eukaryota; Metazoa; Chordata; Mammalia; Rodentia; Muridae. The record is from RefSeq and is a predicted model, not a curated record.